GAUGAACGCUGGCGGCGUGCUUAACACAUGCAAGUCGAACGAAGCACCGGAGUUGAUUUCCGUCGGGACUGAUGAUUUGGUGACUGAGUGGCGGACGGGUGAGUAACGCGGGGGUAACCUGCCUUGUACAGGGGGAUAACAGUGGGAAACGGCUGCGAAUACCGCAUAAGCGCACAGCAUCGCAUGAUGCAGUGUGAAAAACUCCGGUGGUCUAAGAGGGACCCGCGUUGGCUUAGCUAGUUGGGGAGGUAAGGGCCCACCAAGGCGACGAGACAUAGCCGAGCUGAUAGGGUGACCCGCCACAUUGGGACUGGGACACGGCCCGAACUCCUACGGGAGGCAGCAGUGGGGAAUCUUGCCCAAUGGGCGAAGGCCUGAUGCAGCGACGCCGCGUGAGCGCAGAAGUAUUUCGGUAUGUACCGCUCUAUCAGCAGGGCAGAUAAUGACGUUACCUGACUAAGAAGCACCGGCUAACUACGUG
RNAcentral lists this ribosomal RNA (481 nucleotides) under uncultured bacterium. RNAcentral's name for it is "partial 16S ribosomal RNA". It matches the Rfam family "Bacterial small subunit ribosomal RNA", at positions 28 to 507 of the family's 1533-position model. The record is from RNAcentral.